AAAAACAUUUCUGGGAGGAAAAUGUUUUUAGUUUAACCUGCUCAAUGCUUUAGUAAAUAGCUGCAGUAUUUUGACUGUACAAAGGUAGCAUAAUCAUUAGUCUUUUGAUUGGAGGCUUGUAUGAAUGGUUGAACAGAAUAUUAGCUUUUUUAGGUGUAUGGAAUUUUAAUUUAUGGUUUAUGUAAAAAUGCAUAGAUUUUUGGAAGGGACGAUAAGACCCUAUAGAAUUUUAAAAUAGGUGUGUAAAUUUUUAUUUUUUUGUUGGGGUGACAGUAAAUAAACUUUUACGUAAUUUUCAUUGAUGAAUGAUUAGAAGAUCUUAAAAUUUUAGAAAGAAAGAUAAAAUUACCUUAGGGAUAACAGCAUAAUUUUUUUUAAAAGAUCUUAUUAAUAAAAAAGAUUAUGACCUCGAUGUUGAAUUAAAAUAAAAUUUUGGUGUAGAAGCUUAAUUUUUUAGUCUGUUCGACUUUAGAUUUUACAUGAUUUG
RNAcentral lists this ribosomal RNA (487 nucleotides) under Cacopsylla sp. PCOBT.10. Its description in RNAcentral is "partial 16S ribosomal RNA". It matches the Rfam family "Bacterial large subunit ribosomal RNA", at positions 1821 to 2607 of the family's 2925-position model. Lineage: Eukaryota; Metazoa; Arthropoda; Insecta; Hemiptera; Psyllidae. The record is from RNAcentral.